RNAcentral lists this ribosomal RNA (56 nucleotides) under Larsenianthus careyanus. RNAcentral's name for it is "partial 26S ribosomal RNA". The record is from RNAcentral. Lineage: Eukaryota; Viridiplantae; Streptophyta; Magnoliopsida; Zingiberales; Zingiberaceae.
AUCAUCAAAUUGUGGCCCCAAGUCAGGCGAGGCCACCCGCUGAGUUUAAGCAUAUC